UACGUAGGUGACCAGCGUUGUCCGGAUUUACUGGGUGUAAAGAGCGCGCAGGCGGUCGUUCAAGUCGAGUGUGAAAGCCCCCGGCUCAACUGGGGAGGGUCACUCGAUACUGAUCGACUUGAAGGCAGGAGAGGGAAGCGGAAUUCCCGGUGUAGUGGUGAAAUGCGUAGAUAUCGGGAGGAACACCAGUGGCGAAGGCGGCUUCCUGGCCUGUUCUUGACGCUGAGGCGCGAAAUCUAGGGGAGCAAACGGG
This 253-nucleotide ribosomal RNA is filed under the name uncultured bacterium. Its description in RNAcentral is "partial 16S ribosomal RNA". It matches the Rfam family "Bacterial small subunit ribosomal RNA", at positions 524 to 776 of the family's 1533-position model. The record is from RNAcentral.